AACAGGAUUAGAUACCCUGGUAGUCCAUGCCGUAAACGUUGGGCACUAGAUGUGGGGGACAUUCCACGUUUUCCGCGUCGUAGCUAACGCAUUAAGUGCCCCGCCUGGGGAGUACGGCCGCAAGGCUAAAACUCAAAGGAAUUGACGGGGGCCCGCACAAGCGGCGGAGCAUGCUGAUUAAUUCGAUGCAACGCGAAGAACCUUACCAAGGCUUGACAUGCACCGGACGACCUCAGAGAUGGGGUUUUCUUCGGACUGGUGCACAGGUGGUGCAUGGUUGUCGUCAGCUCGUGUCGUGAGAUGUUGGGUUAAGUCCCGCAACGAGCGCAACCCUUGUUCUAUGUUGCCAGCACGUGAUGGUGGGGACUCAUAGGAGACUGCCGGGGUCAACUCGGAGGAAGGUGGGGACGACGUCAAAUCAUCAUGCCCCUUAUGUCUUGGGCUUCAAGCAUGCUACAAUGGUCGGUACAAUGGGUUGCGAAACUGUGAGGUGGAGCGAAUCCCAAAAAGCCGGCCUCAGUUCGGAUUGGGGUCUGCAACUCGACCCCAUGAAGUCGGAGUCGCUAGUAAUCGCAGAUCAGCAACGCUGCGGUGAAUACGUUCCCGGGCCUUGUACACACCGCCCGUCAAGUCACGAAAGUCGGUAACACCCGAAGCCAGUGGCCCAUCCUCGUGAGGGAGCUGUCGAAGGUGGGAUCGGUGAUUGGGACUAAGUCGUAACAAGGUAGCCGUACCGGAAGGUGCGGCUGGAUCACCUCCUU
This 761-nucleotide ribosomal RNA is filed under the name uncultured bacterium. RNAcentral's name for it is "bacterial SSU rRNA". It matches the Rfam family "Bacterial small subunit ribosomal RNA", at positions 771 to 1532 of the family's 1533-position model. The record is from RNAcentral.